GGAAAAGUCGUGAUGUAUUUUU
Molecule: microRNA, 22 nt
Filed under: Tupaia belangeri chinensis (Chinese tree shrew)
Lineage: Eukaryota; Metazoa; Chordata; Mammalia; Scandentia; Tupaiidae
Description: Tupaia chinensis (Chinese tree shrew) tch-miR-9771a
Source: miRBase by way of RNAcentral